GCCCUUAGAGUUUGAUCCUGGCUCAGAUUGAACGCUGGCGGCGUGCCUAACACAUGCAAGUCGAACGCGAAAGCCCUUUCGGGGGUGAGUAAAGUGGCGCACGGGUGAGUAACGCGUGGAUAAUCUACCGAGAAGUUGGGAAUAACGGUUGGAAACGAUCGCUAAUACCGAAUACGUAAUAUGGUUAAACAUAUUAGAAAGGGGGCCUCUGCAUAUGCUCUCGCUUUCUGAUGAGUCCGCGUCCCAUUAGCUAGUUGGUAAGGUAAAAGCUUACCAAGGCGACGAUGGGUAACUGGUCUGAGAGGAUGAUCAGUCACACUGGAACUGGAACACGGUCCAGACUCCUACGGGGGGCAGCAGUGGGGAAUAUUGCGCAAUGGGCGAAAGCCUGACGCAGCGACGCCGCGUGAGGGAAGAAAGUUCUCGGAUCGUAAACCUCUGUCAGAAGGAAGAACUGCACUCGUGCUAAUCAGCGAAUGUUUGACGGUCCUUCAAAAGAAGCACCCGGCUAACUUCGUGCCAGCACCCGCGGUAAUACUGAGGGUGCGAACCGUUAAUCGGAAUUACUGGGCGUAAAACGUGCGUAGCCGGUUUGGUAAAUCAAUGGGGGAAAUCCCCGUGCUCACAUGGGAACUGCCAUUGAGACUACUUUACUAUAAUAUGUGAAAAGAUAUGGAAUUUCUAUGUAGGAAUGAAAUCCGUAGAUAUUAGAAGGAACAUCAGUGGCGAAGGCGACUAUCUGCNCAUUCUGCGCUUGAGGUCCNAAAACGUGGGGAUCAAACAGGAUAAAUACCCUGGCAAGAAUUACGGGGCCCGCACAACGGUGAGUAUGUGUUUAUUGAUCAACGCGCAGACCUUUACUAGUUUGACAUCUGUAGAAAUUCCCCGAAAAGGAAUGUGCUCCUGGAAGAGCUACAAGACAGGUGCUGCAUGGCUGUCGUCAGCUCGUGUCGUGAGAUGUUGGGUUAAGUCCCGCAACGAGCGCAACCCCUAUCUUUAGUUGCCACUGGGUAAUGCCAAGCACUCUAAGGAGACUGCCCGGGUUAACCGGGAGGAAGGUGGGGAUGACGUCAAGUCCUCAUGGCCCUUACACCUAGGGCUACACACGUACUACAAUGGCACACACAAAGGGCAACGAAACCGCGAGGUGGAGCGAAUCUCAAAAAAUGUGUCCCAGUCCGGAUUGCAGUCUGCAACUCGACUGCAUGAAGUUGGAAUCGCUAGUAAUUCUGGAUCAGCAUGCCAGGGUGAAUGCGUUCCCGGGCCUUGUACACACCGCCCGUCACACCACGAAAGUUGGUUUUACCCGAAGCCGCCGAGCUAACAGUUUACUGAGGCAGGCGUCUACGGUAGGCCCGAUGAUUGGGGUGAAGUCGUAACAAGGUAACC
This 1389-nucleotide ribosomal RNA is filed under the name uncultured bacterium. Its description in RNAcentral is "partial 16S ribosomal RNA". It matches the Rfam family "Bacterial small subunit ribosomal RNA". The record is from RNAcentral.